Molecule: ribosomal RNA, 502 nt
Filed under: uncultured bacterium
Lineage: Bacteria
Description: partial 16S ribosomal RNA
Rfam family: Bacterial small subunit ribosomal RNA
Source: RNAcentral
GAUGAAUGCUGGCGGCGUGCCUAACACAUGCAAGUCGAGCGGCAGCGAGUUUUACACUGAAUUCUGGAAGCUUCUGAGUAGUACAGAAGAUUUAUUCAAGAGUUUUGUGUAAAAUGUCGGCGAGCGGCGGACGGCUGAGUAACGCGUAGGAAUUUGCCCCAAAGUGAGGAAUAACUGCCCGAAAGGGUAGCUAAUGCCGCAUAUGGUCUUCGGAUUAAAGCCUUCGGGCGCUUUGGGAGAAGCCUGCGUUGGAUUAGGUAGUUGGUAGGGUAAUGGCCUACCAAGCCGACGAUACAUAGCUGGUCUGAGAGGAUGAUCAGCCAGACUGGAACUGAGACACGGUCCAGACUCCUACGGGAGGCAGCAGUGAGGAAUCUUCCACAAUGGGCGAAAGCCUGAUGGAGCAACGCCGCGUGAAGGAUGAAGGCCUUCGGGUUGUAAACUUCUUUUAUGAGUGAAGAAUAUGACGGUAACUCAUGAAUAAGCACCGGCUAACUACGUG